GCACAAGCGGUGGAUGAUGUGGAUUAAUUCGAUGCAACGCGAAAACCUUACCUACCCUUGACAUGUCUGGAACCUUGGUGAGAGCCGAGGGUGCCUUCGGGAGCCAGAACACAGGUGCUGCAUGGCUGUCGUCAGCUCGUGUCGUGAGAUGUUGGGUUAAGUCCCGCAACGAGCGCAACCCUUGCCAUUAGUUGCUACGAAAGGGCACUCUAAUGGGACUGCCGGUGACAAACCGGAGGAAGGUGGGGAUGACGUCAAGUCCUCAUGGCCCUUAUAGGUGGGGCUACACACGUCAUACAAUGGCCGGUACAGAGGGUAGCCAACCCGCGAGGGGGAGCCAAUCCCACAAAGCCGGUCGUAGUCCGGAUCGCAGUCUGCAACUCGACUGCGUGAAGUCGGAAUCGCUAGUAAUCGCGGAUCAGCAUGUCGCGGUGAAUACGUUCCCGGGUCUU
This 452-nucleotide ribosomal RNA is filed under the name uncultured Diaphorobacter sp. RNAcentral's name for it is "bacterial SSU rRNA". It matches the Rfam family "Bacterial small subunit ribosomal RNA", at positions 923 to 1382 of the family's 1533-position model. The record is from RNAcentral. Lineage: Bacteria; Pseudomonadati; Pseudomonadota; Betaproteobacteria; Burkholderiales; Comamonadaceae.